GGACAGUUAGCUCAGUUGGUGAAAGCGUGGUACUAAUAACGCCAAGGUUGUGGGUUCAAUCCCCAUACUAGUCCA
Molecule: non-coding RNA, 75 nt
Organism: Pristis pectinata (smalltooth sawfish)
Lineage: Eukaryota; Metazoa; Chordata; Chondrichthyes; Rhinopristiformes; Pristidae
Source: the annotation of a RefSeq genome assembly